CCUGAGAAACCCAAAAGAUCGAAUGGGGAGAUUCAUCGUCAGCUCAUUUUGUAUAUAUAUAAGUUAUGAUAUGGGUUACUACUUGUAGUAUUGCCUGUACAUUCUUGUAUAUUUUAUUGCAUUAUGUUGUCGGCGUGCACUUCUCCCCUAGUAGGACGUCGCGACCCGUUGAGUGUCGGUCUACGGCCCAAGUGGUAGCCUUUAAUUUUUAUUAAUUGAAGACCCUUGGUGUUUCCUGGCUGGCUACUCGGCGGUAUUCGUACGGUAUUAAGCCGCAUUUUUUAUGCGUUCAUAUCCGUCGCAAGCGCGGUCAAUUUUUGGCAGUACGGACCUAGUGCCGUCGCUAUAAUUGACCAGCUGUUGGUUGUACGGUAUUCUAGAACUGGCUUUAAAUUAUAUACCGGUCAGCGAUGCUACUGCUUUGGGUACUUUCAGGACCCGUCUUGAAACACGGACCAAGGAGUCUAACAUGUACGCGAGUCAUUGGGAUUUUUUUUUAAAUUAAACCUAAAGGCGUAAUGAAAGUAAAGGUCGUCCUUGUGACGAUUGAGGGAGGAUGAGUUGUGUUAAGAUACAGCUUCGCACUCCCGGGGCGUCUCAUUCUCAUUACGAGAAGAGGCGCACCUAG
This 628-nucleotide ribosomal RNA is filed under the name Colastes sp. RMNH-Jo698. RNAcentral describes it as "eukaryotic LSU rRNA". It matches the Rfam family "Eukaryotic large subunit ribosomal RNA", at positions 386 to 798 of the family's 3401-position model. Lineage: Eukaryota; Metazoa; Arthropoda; Insecta; Hymenoptera; Braconidae. The record is from RNAcentral.